This 440-nucleotide ribosomal RNA is filed under the name uncultured bacterium. RNAcentral describes it as "partial 16S ribosomal RNA". It matches the Rfam family "Bacterial small subunit ribosomal RNA", at positions 338 to 795 of the family's 1533-position model. The record is from RNAcentral.
CCUACGGGAGGCAGCAGUGGGGAAUAUUGGACAAUGGGGGGAACCCUGAUCCAGCGACGCCGCGUGAGUGAAGAAGUAUUUCGUUACGUAAAGCUCUAUCAGCAGGGAAGAAAAUGACGGUACCUGAGUAAGAAGCCCCGGCUAACUACGUGCCAGCAGCCGCGGUAACACGUAGGGAGCAAGCGUUAUCCGGAUUUACUGGGUGUAAAGGGGGCGUAGACGGUGCGACAAGUCUGGAGUGAAAUGCCGGAGCUUAACUGCGGAACUGCUUUGGAAACUGGCGAACUCGAGUGCGGGAGGGGUAAGCGGAAUGCGUGGUGUAGCGGUGAAAUGCAUAGAUAUUAGGAGGAACGCCGGUGGCGAAGGCGGCUUACCGGACCGUAACUGACGUUGAGGCUCGAAAGCGUGGGGAGCGAACAGGAUUAGAUACCCCUGUAGUC